This 31-nucleotide non-coding RNA is filed under the name Rattus norvegicus (Norway rat). Lineage: Eukaryota; Metazoa; Chordata; Mammalia; Rodentia; Muridae. The record is from RNAcentral.
UGCAAUCUUUCCCUCUUGGAUCUGCAAAAUU